This 495-nucleotide ribosomal RNA is filed under the name uncultured bacterium. RNAcentral's name for it is "partial 16S ribosomal RNA". It matches the Rfam family "Bacterial small subunit ribosomal RNA", at positions 28 to 507 of the family's 1533-position model. The record is from RNAcentral.
GAUGAACGCUGGCGGCGUGCCUAAUACAUGCAAGUAGAACGCUGAAGGAGGAGCUUGCUCUUCUGGAUGAGUUGCGAACGGGUGAGUAACGCGUAGGUAACCUGCCUGGUAGCGGGGGAUAACUCUUGGAAACGCUAGCUAAUACCGCAUGACAACAGUUAUUGCAUGAUAACUGUUUAAAAGGGGCAACUGCUCCACUACUAGAUGAUGCUUCGUUGUAUUAUCUAGUUGGUGAGGUAACGGCUUAACAAGGCGACGAUACAUCGCCGGCCUCGGAGGGUGGAUGGCCAACACGGGACUGGGACCCGGCCCAGACCUCUACGGGGGGCAGCAGUAGGGAAACUUCGGCAAUGGGCGGAAGUCUGACCGAGCAACGCCGCGUGAGGGAAGAAGGUUUUCGGAUCGUAAAGCUCUGUUGUAAGGGAAGAACGAGUGUGAGAGUGGAAAGUUCACACUGUGACGGUAUCUUACCAGAAAGGGACGGCUAACUACGUG